RNAcentral lists this ribosomal RNA (565 nucleotides) under uncultured bacterium. RNAcentral describes it as "bacterial SSU rRNA". It matches the Rfam family "Bacterial small subunit ribosomal RNA", at positions 352 to 909 of the family's 1533-position model. The record is from RNAcentral.
CAGUAGGGAAUCUUCCCCCAAUGGACGAAAGUUCUGACGGGCAACGCCGCGUGAGUGAAGAAGGAUUUCGGUUCGUAAAACUCUGUUGUAAGGGAAGAACAAGUACCGUAGUAACUGGCGGUACCUUGACGGUACCUAGCCAGAAAGCCACGGCUAACUACGUGCCAGCAGCCGCGGUAAUACGUAGGUGGCAAGCGUUGUCCGGAAUUAUUGGGCGUAAAGCGCGCGCAGGCGGUUCCUUAAGUCUGAUGUGAAAGCCCCCGGCUCAACCGGGGAGGGUCAUUGGAAACUGGGGAACUUGAGUGCAGAAGAGGAGAGUGGAAUUCCAAGUGUAGCGGUGAAAUGCGUAGAGAUUUGGAGGAACACCAGUGGCGAAGGCGACUGUCUGGUCUGUAACUGACACUGAGGCGCGAAAGCGUGGGGAGCAAACAGGAUUAGAUACCCUGGUAGUCCACGCCGUAAACGAUGAGUGCUAAGUGUUGGGGGGUUUCCGCCCCUCAGUGCUGCAGCUAACGCAUUAAGCACUCCGCCUGGGGAGUACGGCCGCAAGGCUGAAACUCAGGAA